AUCGUCGUGCCAUGUUCCGCUGCUUCGCCAGCGACAUGCCCAGGUAGCCUCGACCUUCAAGGCUACGAUGCGAUCCGUCGCAUUGGUUGUUUUUGUACCUGAUGCCAUCGCGCGUCUUUUACCUCAACCCUCAAGGGACAUCCCUCCCUUGCAGGGC
This is a regulatory RNA element of Spongiibacter sp. IMCC21906, 157 nucleotides long. It matches the Rfam family "radC RNA". The record is from Rfam. NCBI's taxonomy places the organism in Bacteria, Pseudomonadati, Pseudomonadota, Gammaproteobacteria, Cellvibrionales, Spongiibacteraceae.